RNAcentral lists this ribosomal RNA (146 nucleotides) under uncultured eukaryote. RNAcentral describes it as "partial small subunit ribosomal RNA". The record is from RNAcentral.
GGUACACACCDYCCGUCRCYAUUACCGAYUGGGUGUAUAGGUGAGCCCUCUCGAUAGACGCAAGUCUAGAAAUUGAGCAAACCUUUGCACCUAGAGGAAAUAAAAGUCGYAACAAGGUUUCCGUAGGUGAACCUGCAGAAGGAUCA